This 76-nucleotide transfer RNA is filed under the name Methanosaeta sp. PtaU1.Bin112. RNAcentral's name for it is "tRNA-Arg". It matches the Rfam family "tRNA". From Rfam's summary of the family: Transfer RNA (tRNA) molecules are approximately 80 nucleotides in length. Their secondary structure includes four short double-helical elements and three loops (D, anti-codon, and T loops). Lineage: Archaea; Methanobacteriati; Methanobacteriota; Methanomicrobia; Methanotrichales; Methanotrichaceae. The record is from RNAcentral.
GGGCGCGUGGCCUAGUCUGGAUAAGGCGGCAGCCUCCUAAGCUGUAGAUCGGGGGUUCGAAUCCCUCCGCGCCCGC